This 292-nucleotide ribosomal RNA is filed under the name uncultured bacterium. Its description in RNAcentral is "partial 16S ribosomal RNA". It matches the Rfam family "Bacterial small subunit ribosomal RNA", at positions 505 to 796 of the family's 1533-position model. The record is from RNAcentral.
GUGUCAGCCGCCGCGGUAAUACGAAGGGGGCUAGCGUUGCUCGGAAUUACUGGGCGUAAAGGGAGCGUAGGCGGACUGUUAAGUUAGAGGUGAAAGCCCAGGGCUCAACCUUGGAAUUGCCUUUGAUACUGGCAGUCUUGAGUACGGAAGAGGUAUGUGGAACUCCGAGUGUAGAGGUGAAAUUCGUAGAUAUUCGGAAGAACACCAGUGGCGAAGGCGACAUACUGGUCCGUUACUGACGCUGAGGCUCGAAAGCGUGGGGAGCAAACAGGAUUAGAUACCCUUGUAGUCC